CAGGCAUACCUGUUGAUGUGAUAAUGAGUGAUCAGACUCCACUUCAUGGUCCAAAUUCAUUAAGAACACCAGAUACUACCGUUUCUAACAAGGAAAAUGUCAAUAAUAUCGACUCUGCCAUUGGGUCCUCCCAACUGACUGUGUUACCACCGCCACUUCAAUCCUACAGAGGCAGCAAUUCAUAUGGUAAUCAAUUCUGGCUCAUAUUAACUACCAUACAGAGUAAAGACAUAUUAUAUCUCUCUUCUUCCUAUGCAAGGUUUCCUAUCUAAAAGUGUCAUUCUUGGGUUUUCAGGAUAACAUCAACAAGGUAGCAAAGGAUGAGGAUAUACAUAAUAUGCAGGUUGAAGACGUGAUAAAGAAAGACAAGGAUACAAACACUGAGUCGGCAGAGGUGAUACAAGAAGAAUCUACUAUGGAGGAUACAGAGAAUAUGCAGAUUGAUGAGGUGAUAACCGUAUAGGAGGAUACAUAUCCCGAGUCCAUAAAGGCUACACAAGAGUCCAUUACGGAGGGUCCACUAAACAUGCUUUUUGAUGCUGUGAUAACCAAGGACGGAGAUACAAUCCCCGAAUCGACAGAGGCAAGUUUUCUUUCCACAUGUCAUUACUAUUCUAAUUCUAACGCCACAAAUCAGUUUGUAAUUUUUUUAGUACAAUAUCAUAUCAAACAGAUAUUCUCUCUGUUAUAAUAUUAUAAUACCAUGUGUUUCAGCUACCGAGCAAUGACGAAUCAAGUGAAAUACUCAACAAUAAUGAAGUGGAGGAAAAUAAUUGCACGGAGAGCCCAGAGAAUACACCUAUUCUUGAAGAAAACAUAGCAAACAGAGAGACCAAAGAUUCUGAACAUACACAGAAAUUAACCCACAAUGAAACAAGUCAAUAAAUGGUGGCAACUGAGGACAAGAAUUGGCACAAACACCCCUCAUGGGAUCUGGCCAAAAUAAUGGAGCUCAAGGCGAUACAUUUCAUUGG
This is a long non-coding RNA of Triticum aestivum (bread wheat), 974 nucleotides long. RefSeq lists it as uncharacterized. The record is from RefSeq and is a predicted model, not a curated record. The transcript has 2 exons. Lineage: Eukaryota; Viridiplantae; Streptophyta; Magnoliopsida; Poales; Poaceae.